AAUAGCCAAAAAAUACAUGAACUAUCAUCAAAUUUGCAAAUUGCACACGACCUUCAAAAUUAGCCCCAGAAUACACCACCUUUCGAUUUAAUUGUAAUUUGCACAUGUGUUGACCAUCAUCUUAAACGUUGUUGACGUGGCAGCCGGAAAUUGCAGACGUGGACUAACCGCCGGGCAUGUAAAACGACGUCGUUUUAUCAAGUUUUUCUAAAUAAAAAAAAUAAAAAUAAAAAGAAAAAAAACCCUUUCUGCUCAACACCUCAUUUCUGCUCUCUCUCUCUCCACACAGAGACUCCACUCCCUUCUUCCUCACCGGCGUUGCCGGCGUCGUCGCCUCUCCCUUCUCUCGCCUCUCACCCUCUCUCUGUAACACACGCACAACCCAAAAAGACAAGGAAUUCAAACGAAAAUC
This 412-nucleotide long non-coding RNA is filed under the name Salvia miltiorrhiza (redroot sage). RNAcentral describes it as "long non-coding RNA (SMIL_LNC002185)". The record is from RNAcentral. Lineage: Eukaryota; Viridiplantae; Streptophyta; Magnoliopsida; Lamiales; Lamiaceae.